This 209-nucleotide ribosomal RNA is filed under the name uncultured bacterium. RNAcentral's name for it is "partial 16S ribosomal RNA". It matches the Rfam family "Bacterial small subunit ribosomal RNA", at positions 568 to 774 of the family's 1533-position model. The record is from RNAcentral.
UGCGUAGGUGGUGGGGUAAGUCUGAUGUGAAAUCUCCAGGCUCAACCUGGAAAAGGCAUUGGAAACUACCCUGCUGGAGGGUUGGAGGGGGGGACGUGGAAUACUGGGUGUAGCAGUGAAAUGCGUAGAUAUCCAGUGGAACACCAGUGGCGAAGGCGAGUCCCUGGACAACACCUGACACUGAGGCACGAAAGCCAGGGGAGCAAACA